This 1042-nucleotide ribosomal RNA is filed under the name marine bacterium HD-1. RNAcentral describes it as "bacterial SSU rRNA". It matches the Rfam family "Bacterial small subunit ribosomal RNA", at positions 388 to 1433 of the family's 1533-position model. The record is from RNAcentral.
CCAGCCAUGCCGCGUGCAGGAUGACUGCCCUAUGGGUUGUAAACUGCUUUUAUAGGGGAAGAAACGCACCUACGUGUAGGUGUCUGACCGUACCGUAAGAAUAAGGACCGGCUAACUCCGUGCCAGCAGCCGCGGUAAUACGGAGGGUCCGAGCGUUAUCCGGAAUCAUUGGGUUUAAAGGGUCCGUAGGCGGGCCGUUAAGUCAGGGGUGAAAGUCUGCGGCUCAACCGUAGAAUUGCCUUUGAUACUGGCGGUCUUGAGUCGUUGUGGAGUUGCCGGAACAUGUGGUGUAGCGGUGAAAUGCAUAGAUAUCACAUAGAACACCGAUCGCGAAGGCAGGUGACUAACAACGUACUGACGCUGAUGGACGAAAGCGUGGGUAGCGAACGGGAUUAGAUACCCCGGUAGUCCACGCCGUAAACGAUGGAUACUAGCUGUCGGGCCUUCGGGCUCGGCGGCCAAGCGAAAGUGAUAAGUAUCCCACCUGGGGAGUACGUUCGCAAGAAUGAAACUCAAAGGAAUUGACGGGGGCCCGCACAAGCGGUGGAGCAUGUGGUUUAAUUCGAUGAUACGCGAGGAACCUUACCAGGGCUUAAAUGUAGUGGGACAGGCUUAGAGAUAGGCUUUUCUUCGGACUCAUUACAAGGUGCUGCAUGGUUGUCGUCAGCUCGUGCCGUGAGGUGUCAGGUUAAGUCCUAUAACGAGCGCAACCCCUACCGUUAGUUGCCAGCGAGUCAAGUCGGGGACUCUAACGGGACUGCCGGUGCAAACCGUGAGGAAGGUGGGGACGACGUCAAAUCAUCACGGCCCUUACGUCCUGGGCCACACACGUGCUACAAUGGCCGGUACAGAGGGAAGCCACCCCGCGAGGGGGAGCGGAUCUAUAAAACCGGUCACAGUUCGGAUCGGGGUCUGCAACUCGACCCCGUGAAGCUGGAAUCGCUAGUAAUCGGAUAUCAGCCAUGAUCCGGUGAAUACGUUCCCGGGCCUUGUACACACCGCCCGUCAAGCCAUGGAAAGCCGGAGUGCCUGAAGUCCGUCA